UGGGGAAUAUUGCACAAUGGGCGCAAGCCUGAUGCAGCCAUGCCGCGUGUGUGAAGAAGGCCUUCGGGUUGUAAAGCACUUUCAGCGGGGAGGAAGGCGUUAAGGUUAAUAACCUUGGCGAUUGACGUUACCCGCAGAAGAAGCACCGGCUAACUCCGUGCCAGCAGCCGCGGUAAUACGGAGGGUGCAAGCGUUAAUCGGAAUUACUGGGCGUAAAGCGCACGCAGGCGGUCUGUCAAGUCGGAUGUGAAAUCCCCGGGCUCAACCUGGGAACUGCAUUCGAAACUGGCAGGCUAGAGUCUUGUAGAGGGGGGUAGAAUUCCAGGUGUAGCGGUGAAAGGCGUAGAGAUCUGGGGGAAUACCGGUGGCGAAGGCGGCCCCCUGGACAAAGACUGACGCUCAGGUGCGAAAGCGUGGGGAGCAAACAGG
This 429-nucleotide ribosomal RNA is filed under the name Chloroflexota bacterium. Its description in RNAcentral is "Chloroflexi bacterium partial 16S ribosomal RNA". It matches the Rfam family "Bacterial small subunit ribosomal RNA", at positions 355 to 776 of the family's 1533-position model. The record is from RNAcentral. Lineage: Bacteria; Bacillati; Chloroflexota.